RNAcentral lists this ribosomal RNA (482 nucleotides) under uncultured bacterium. RNAcentral's name for it is "partial 16S ribosomal RNA". It matches the Rfam family "Bacterial small subunit ribosomal RNA", at positions 30 to 507 of the family's 1533-position model. The record is from RNAcentral.
AUUGAACGCUGGCGGCAUGCUUUACACAUGCAAGUCGAACGGUAACAGGCCGCAAGGUGCUGGCGAGUGGCGGACGGGUGGGUAAUGCAUCGGAACGUGCCCAGUCGUGGGGGAUAACUACUCGAAAGAGUAGCUAAUACCGCAUACGAUCUAUGGAUGAAAGCGGGGGACCGUAAGGCCUCGCGCGAUUGGAGCGGCCGAUGUCAGAUUAGGUAGUUGGUGGGGUAAAGGCUCACCAAGCCAACGAUCUGUAGCUGGUCUGAGAGGACAACCAGCCACACUGGGACUGAGACACGGCCCAGACUCCUACGGGAGGCAGCAGUGGGGAAUUUUGGACAAUGGGCGCAAGCCUGAUCCAGCAAUGCCGCGUGCAGGAAGAAGGCCUUCGGGUUGUAAACUGCUUUUGUACGGAACGAAACGGCUCUGGUUAAUACCCGGGGCUAAUGACGGUACUGGAAGAAUAAGCACCGGCUAACUACGUG